CCUGUGGGCAGGAAAACUGCUCCCCUUGUCCGUGCCUGCGGGUGGGACAGAUAAGGCUGCUCGUCCUGCGGGGGCCCCCAGCCCACCUGCUUCCUAUCCAUUUCCUGCAGGAUGGUGCCCCCUGCAUCCCCUUACCCAUCGCUCACGGAAGGAAAAGCAGACGUGGCCAGCCUGCAUCCUCUGCCCUCCCUGAGCCUCCUGGCCUGGCUGGCCACAGCUGGCAUGGACGCCAUCAGCAGGCUCCGUGCAGGCGGACGGGGCAGCCCCACAGCCAGGGCACCCCGGCCCUCACUCACCAGCACCCUUUUGUUCUUUUCCUAGCAAAAUAUGCAAAGUGUGACCAGUGUGGAAACCCAAAGGGCAACAGAUGUGUGUUCAGCCUGUGCCGCGGCUGCUGCAAGAAGCGAGCCUCCAAAGAGACUGCAGACUGCCCAGGUCACGGAUUGCUUUUUAAAACCAAAUUGGAGAAGUCUCUGGCCUGGAAAGAGGCCCAGCCUGAGCUGCAGGAGCCUCAGCCAGCAGCACCUGGAACACCAGGUGGCUUCUCCGAAGUCAUGGGCAGUGCCCUGGCCUGAAGGCCCAGAACCCCCACCCCCAGGACUGCUGCUGGAGCCUGGACACGUCCUACUUAAGAAAAUACCUUUUACUCAGGGAAUCUCCUGCUACUUAAUGUG
Molecule: small RNA, 674 nt
Filed under: Pan troglodytes (chimpanzee)
Lineage: Eukaryota; Metazoa; Chordata; Mammalia; Primates; Hominidae
Description: retained intron
Source: RNAcentral